Molecule: long non-coding RNA, 2117 nt
Organism: Homo sapiens (human)
Lineage: Eukaryota; Metazoa; Chordata; Mammalia; Primates; Hominidae
Gene: NR2F1-AS1
Product: NR2F1 antisense RNA 1
Source: Ensembl
GGGAGUCGGCGACCGCUUAGUGACGAGCGAUGAUUUUAAAGAGCAGAAUAAAAGGUUUUCCCGUGCCUGCCCCACAGCCCCUCCAGCUCGAAUAAUGGAGAACUGUCAAUGCACUCCGCGAGCGGUGGCCCAUUGUACGCAGCUGAUGGCGAGGAGGCGACUGGGGGUAGCAGGGGCUCCUUGCCCUCGUCCCUAUGCCCAAAUAAACGCGCAAACGCGCUCCCGUCUUCUGGUCAGUUAAAAGGUGAAACGAACACGAUUAAAAUAGACCAAAAGAAAAGAAAGAAAAGAAAACCUUUCUAUGUACAGAUUCUAAAUCGUACUCCCCAUACAGUCAGAGGCAGGGAGUCGAGGGCAGAGGCAGCAGGCGGAGAGAGGGAGAUAGGGCGAGGGAAGGAGAACGCGGAGAGAGACGAAGGGAGUGGGAGACCAGCGACAGCGAGCGCCAGGGCACCGCAGGCACACUGGAUGCCCAGUCCGCCGGCCCAGCCGCCCUCGGACCCUGGACCGUGCGUCGUGGGCACCAGAAACGAGACUCGGCCAAAUCCUGCCUCACCAGCAGGUAGAUGAAACUCAAGAGAAAAGGUGUGGAUAAAUGAAACUAGCCCAUGAUGAACCUGUUUUCUCCGUGACCACAAUAUUAACCAGGAUGAAUGGCGGUGGCAGUGGGCCUGCAUCACAGGUUGCAGCAGAUGUUCUCAAUAUUUCUAUUAAAAUUUCCUUAUUUCCAUAUGCAAGAGGAGCCCCAGAGCUGCAUCCUUAUGGUAGCUACCAUGCCGUGAUGUAAGCUGCCAUUCACUGGGGAGCUUUGGCAAUAGAAUUGGCUAGAUCAGGAAGCCUAUGUCAACUAUGGAACAACAACUUGCAGCUCAUCUCUAUUGAUGAUGGAAUCUCGCUAUGUCACCAGGCUGGAGUGCAGUGGCGCAACCUCGGCUCAGCGCAACAUCCGCCUCCCGGGUUCAAGUGAUUCUCCUACCUCAGCCUCCUGAGUAGCUGGGAUUACAGGAAUCUAAUGACCAUUGAACUGUGGCCAUGACUUCAAUUACAAGUGAAACAGUCGCAAAUGGAAUUCCAAGAAACAUUCUAUCUAAGGAGAGGCCCCGGAUCAGGACAGCAGUUUCCUCAGACGUGAUGUGGUGCCCCUUGCAUCCUGCUCAGAGAAUUCUCAGCAGCACAGAUCCACUUCAAGGAAACACUGACUUGAAAACUCUCCCCCAUGGUUUUGUCUGAACUGGCUGCCAUUCUGCAGCACACACCAGAUCCAAUUGCUGGAGUCGGGAACCCGAGAGGAGAACCAAUCUCAGCGGCAUCCAGUGUCGGCAGCCAAGAUGGUUAGCUUUGUGCUGGGGACAAUGGAGCGGCCCUGGGGGAAGCAGAGCUGGAAGGCCUCCUCGGAGGAGCUUGACUUGCAGGAGGCUGAUUUGCAUGAUAAUCACCAUCAUGGAUCCUCCCUGGUGCCAGCCUCCACACUUAACCAAAUGCAGUAUAACUUUCAUAGCAGCUGAAAAGCCCGAGUAGGGGCUGUAGCACACAUUUUGCAAAGCCUGGAUGACGUCAAAAACUGCUAGUGAAGAGGGGGCAGCUGGUUGUAAAGCUAAACCACACCGAGGAAUGGAGACUUGGAACAUAACCUUAAAACCUGAUAAAGAAUAUAACUUUGGGGACUGUUGAAAAAUACGAAGCUUUUCCCUCUUUUUUUUUUUUUUAACUCAAAAGAAUCUGUUUACCAGAAGAAGCCUUUUCUUACUGGAACUUCUGAAGCUGUUGAAACCAUGGCAUGAAAAUAGAUCAGUGGAAACACAGAAACAUUUCCAGUGCAGACAUUUCGGUCUCCAUCAGUUAAAAGUAUGGAGCCAGACUUGUAGACUAGGAAUCUUCCCACCAAUCCUUGGUCUGUUUGAUUUUACUUUAUACUGCAUUGUGAUUUGGGGCAUAUGGUAGAAUGGUAGCCAGAAUUGCAAUGAAAAAUUGCACAGAGCCAGUCAAGCUUAAAUCACUCAAAGUUUCUUAUGAAAAACUUUAUUCCUUAGGGCUCCCAGGGACAAAGGAGCAUGUAAAUCAACUGAUGUUAUGAAGCAUGAUUUUGGAUAAUAUGGAGAGUAUGUACAUAUCAAUAC